ACUUUUAAUGACACGUCUGAACAGCGUUGUGCUCGUGGCAGGUGCGUACUUUCACUCUAAAGACGAUGAACAGACUUUAAAGAACCUUGUAUUUCAUCCUAGAUGCUAAAAUUUAGGAGAAAGUGAGUAGUUUAACUUUUUUCUUUACUUUCUUUGAUUUUUUUUAUUGACCAUCUAUUGAUUCCGCGUGUACGAGCUUGUGCGCCUCCAAAAUCUCUGUGUGGAGCAAAGCAAGGAUAGGGUUUCUCGAGAGCUUAGUUUACCGACUAAUGCCUGCCCCCUGACGGCCACGUCCGUUGGACCUGCAUGAAGACAUAUCCGUGAGAGAACUAACGACACUGUGUCUAGAAAGUUGAAGACAUUUCCCAUUGGUUGCCUGCGCCUGUAACCCACAGCAUCAAAGCGGCUGCGAUAAUGAGAGCGGGAGACAGCGCUGAGGAAGACUGGAGAUGAUAUCUUGAUAAUCCAGAGAAGAGGCUCAAAGAAAGCCGCAGCUGGAGACAGCAUGGAGCCCUGCCUGAGGUGGCUUUCCUGACAGCGUGUGGUCUGCAAAAUGAUCCUUUUCAUCAAGGGGCGGCUAUGACCUGACCAGUGUUAAAGCAUGCUGCUGGCUAGAUCUGUCCAGGAGCAAGGAGUAACACACUGUGAAGGGAAUUCCCAUAUGAAUGAUGUCAUCUCCCCAAAAAAGGGCGCAUUUCUCAUGUGUCGAUCAGACUGCAAGUCUAGAAUACACAAAAGAAAAAAAUCAUCUGUUUAGUUUAAUCGUAAAUGUACUGGUAAUUGGCAUUGCUACAUUCAAGAAUCGUGUUGCAGUCAUUACUAGAAUAAGCUUUUAAAGGACAUUUUUAAAAAAGCGUUCCAAAUCAGUUGGACACCCCUACAUUUCUAUCUUAGCGCUAUGGCACCUUCACAACAAGUCUCAACACUAAUUGUUUGUUAUCUUAAAGAGCUAAAUGUGCAGCUGGAGUUUGAAUUGUGGAGGGUAUCAGACAAAUCAUCAGCACAAACGUGAAACGUUCAAGAAACCUCUGCUGAUCCCAACAAACCCAGAUAACCUCCACGAAGAAUAGCUGUGUGUGACCCCCCCACCCUCCUCGUACACUGCCCUGAACGUGUUGGACGUUUACAUUCUUAGCACACAGUGUGAGGCCAGUUUGGACCCUGCAGAGAGCUUAACUAUUAUCUAUACUGUACUAUACCCAGCACUACGAAAAAAAGGGAUACAAAAUAAAUUUGUUCAGGCAGCACACGUCUGAAUAUAUUACACUUUGGCUUCUAGAUUCAAAGAUCAUCAAUCCCUGCAAAUGUGUUACACAUAAAAACCGGGGAGUGAUGAGUAAAUAUCCCCCUCAGAGCUUAUAGCUGGAUGUUUGGGGAUGAAGGGCCAGGGCAGCAGUGGCAUUUGUAUUACAGGUAUUGCAGCUUUGUAUUUAAAUAAAAAAUCCUCUGCAUGAUCUUGAACUCUGUGUUGACUAAAUGUACACGACAAGUCAUUUAUCAAAAAGUACUCAUUAUGGCCUGAAUCUUAAUUAUGUCUAAUGGAAGACUUACCCCCCCUUUUUUUUUAGUGACCUAGACCCAUCUCUGAGAACUUGUUACUCACACAAAAACGGUGGUGUGCACCCUCUUAAUGAAAACAGAAAACAACCCUUUCAACAGAAACUGAAAGUGUUGCACAAUCUUGCAGAUCAAUUCUAGUAUUGCUGAAGCCGUGACUACCUCCAGACACUUUUCUUUCUCAAGAGGAAUAAAACUCAAUGUGACAUCCACCAAGGAGAUUUUCCUUUGUGUGGAAACAUACACACAGCAGGAAAACGAGUGACCUUUGGCACUUAUCACAAAGACACUUAAUACUUUUGAUGGACAGGUCUGCAAAGUGCAAGGCAACGUGAUGAAAUCAUUGCGCAACAGUUACAUAAGGUUUAAUAGUAACGCUCUUAGGUUAGGGAUCAAAUUUAGACAUGACAGAUGACUGAUGUCAGGCGCAGAGGUCUAGCUCACUUGAUCUGCAGAGCUUUCUACACAUAAACACGUUUGUGCAGGUGAUUUGUCGUAUAUCCAUCUAGGAUUUAAAAUCCAGCAGCUCACAGACGAUAACAGACAGCUUUGGUGUUGUCUCAUUGUAAAAGUGACAUAACAGCAAAGUGCAGAUGCCAUAGCUUGUUUCCAGUUCAUGUAGCCGGUGUGCAUGAAUAUUGAAUACAAUUAAGCAAUUGGUGCUAUUAUUAUGUAUACAUAUGUAUAUGUGUGUGUGUGUGUGUUAAUGCAUCUUUGGUCAAACUUCCAAAGAUGCAUUAAAGCAACACACACACACAAAGUAACAUAAAUCAUAAGAUAAGUUACUCUAAUUAUGCAAGGCUCACUGUUAUUAUAUAAGACUUCAUCCACAUUACAUUAGUGGAUUUCUUCUCAGUUUCUCACUGAGCUCUUUAAAAUCUUAAAAUAGUGAACACGGCGAGUCGUGAUAUCGCGUCACUUGUUGGAUGAGUUUUAGCUUCCUGUUAAAUUGUGUUGCCACAGCACAAGAAUAGUACAGUGACUAUACUUCUAUAAAUAUGUUAAUGUUCCAGAUUGGCCUGAUAUCUACAGUAAAAACCAAUGAAGCAUUUAAUGCAGUCGCAGUUACUUCUUAUGUUGAUUCUUUUUUUACUACUGCAUUUUAAAGAAGCUCUCGAGCACAUUCGGGUUUCUGUAUCUGGAGGUUGCAGGGCUCAGUCUGCAGAAGGAAACAUAGUGCUUGCAUUUGCUGUGGUACCCAUGGUACUCUAGAGGUACACAUCUAGAGAGACUAAAGUAUCCAGGCUCCUCACAAAGAAGUAAAUUAUGUUUAUUACAGCAUGUAUUACAGCAAGCUGCCCUGUACCAUUAAUGAUGAGUUUUGACACUGAUGUGUUGAAACUUAUCUUUAUAACAAUAAAGACAUGGCUUGAUGACCAUUAGAACAAUUCCAGGUUUUUCCAAGUGUAGCUGCAGAGGCAGAGGCCACCCUCACAAACCUUUGAUUAACACCCAGUCAUUUUGUUUUAUAAGCAAGCCUGAAAUAUG
Molecule: long non-coding RNA, 3045 nt
Organism: Oreochromis aureus
Lineage: Eukaryota; Metazoa; Chordata; Actinopteri; Cichliformes; Cichlidae
Exons: 3
Source: RefSeq, a predicted model, not a curated record